GGGCCCACACAAGCGGCGGAGCAUGCGGAUUAAUUCGAUGCAACGCGAAGAACCUUACCAAGGCUUGACAUAUAGAGGAAAAGUGCAGAAAUGCACUCCCCGCAAGGUCUCUAUACAGGUGGUGCAUGGUUGUCGUCAGCUCGUGUCGUGAGAUGUUGGGUUAAGUCCCGCAACGAGCGCAACCCUCGUCCUAUGUUGCCAGCACGUAAUGGUGGGAACUCAUGGGAUACUGCCGGGGUCAACUCGGAGGAAGGUGGGGAUGACGUCAAAUCAUCAUGCCCCUUAUGUCUUGGGCUUCACGCAUGCUACAAUGGCCGGUACAGAGGGCUGCAAUACCGCAAGGUGGAGCGAAUCCCAAAAAGCCGGUCUCAGUUCGGAUUGAGGUCUGCAACUCGACUCCGUGAAGCUGGAAUC
Molecule: ribosomal RNA, 414 nt
Filed under: uncultured bacterium
Lineage: Bacteria
Description: bacterial SSU rRNA
Rfam family: Bacterial small subunit ribosomal RNA
Source: RNAcentral